GUGUCAGCAGCCGCGGUAAGACGAAGGGGGCUAGCGUUGUUCGGAAUUACUGGGCGUAAAGCGAGUGUAGGUGGUUGUCAUAGUCAGGUGUGAAAGCCUUGAGCUCAACUCAAGAAAUGCACUUGAUACUAGGCGACUAGAGGACCGGAGAGGAUAGUGGAAUUCCCAGUGUAGUGGUGAAAUACGUAGAGAUUGGGAAGAACACCAGUGGCGAAGGCGGCUAUCUGGACGGUUUCUGACACUAAGACUCGAAAGCGUGGGGAGCAAACAGGAUUAGAUACCCUGGUAGUCCACGCCGUAAACGAUGGGUGCUAGACGUUGGCGGGCUUGCUCGUCAGUGUCGCAGCUAACGCGUUAAGCACCCCGCCUGGGGAGUACGGCCGCAAGGUUGAAACUUAAAUGAAUUGACGGGG
RNAcentral lists this ribosomal RNA (413 nucleotides) under uncultured prokaryote. RNAcentral describes it as "bacterial SSU rRNA". It matches the Rfam family "Bacterial small subunit ribosomal RNA", at positions 505 to 918 of the family's 1533-position model. The record is from RNAcentral.